UGCCUACGGGGCGCAGCAGUGGGGAAUAUUGGGCAAUGGAGGAAACUCUGACCCAGCAACGCCGCGUGAAGGAUGAAGGUUUUCGGAUUGUAAACUUCUGUUGCGAGGGAUGAAGAAUGACGGUACCUCGUGAGGAAGCCCCGGCAAACUACGUGCCAGCAGCCGCGGUAAUACGUAGGGGGCAAGCGUUGUCCGGAAUGACUGGGCGUAAAGGGAGUGUAGGCGGCCUUUUAAGUUAUAUGUGAAAGCCCCCGGCUUAACCGAGGAACUGCAUAU
This 276-nucleotide ribosomal RNA is filed under the name uncultured bacterium. Its description in RNAcentral is "partial 16S ribosomal RNA". It matches the Rfam family "Bacterial small subunit ribosomal RNA", at positions 335 to 628 of the family's 1533-position model. The record is from RNAcentral.